Triticum aestivum (bread wheat) is the source of this 2182-nucleotide long non-coding RNA. RefSeq lists it as uncharacterized. The transcript has 5 exons. NCBI's taxonomy places the organism in Eukaryota, Viridiplantae, Streptophyta, Magnoliopsida, Poales, Poaceae. The record is from RefSeq and is a predicted model, not a curated record.
AUAUAAUGGCAAUAUUUUGCCGGACGGUGAGCCAGGACGGCAUGUACAUCCGACGCCGUCGCAAGAUCGCGUCAGAGCCGUGGCUCGGGUCGUCAUCGACGUCCUGAUCCGUGGACCAGAUUACGUUAACGACGUCAUUUGGUUGGAGUAAAUGCAGAUAUGGGUGGGUGGAUGGAGCUGUCUCGUACCUCUGCCGGCUGCGGGUCUGGUUCUAUCGUCUCGGCGGCGGAACCACGAUCUCUUUUUGGGUAGUGUCUUGCGAGCGUGUCGCCGGUGGAACCUGGAUCUCUUGAGGGUUACGGUCUCUCGGCUCCACCGCCCAAUGGAGUUCUUGUUGCAGCCGGUCAACAUCAGAACUCUCAGAGAGGAAGUAACUGACAGAGAGAGACCCAUGGCGCCUCUCCAUUAUCCUGUUUUGUCGCCGCCGGGCGUCCAAGUGCCAGCUGAGAGUGCCUCUAGUGCAGACACGAAGAUGUGUGCGGCGGCGGCGGAGAGGCAGGGAGUGCAGAUAAGGCGCAGGUAUCUGAACACUCCAUAGAGCAGAUUGAUCCAAAGAUUCCUGGCUGGACACGAAGGGUCAGGAUUGGUGCUGCACCAGGAGUAUAAUAAUCGACUGUUCUGCAAUUUCAAUUAGCUGUUGAACACACGUUUGAUCGUUCAAUCCAUAUACUCUUUUGCAGACAAGGCCGGAAGGUUACAUGGAGCAGCGCAUCUGGAUGUGGCACCCUUUGAUGGCAGCAACCGCACAUUCGCUGUUCGCUCGUUCAACAGUUACUAAUGAAGAUGAUACACCGAAUGCAAAUGAAGGGGCCACGCCAAAUGGUCCGGAGAAUCAAGAAGCUGGACCCAGCGGUAGUGCGCUGGGUACUACCAUUCAAGAUCACAGCCAAGUUGCCGGCAGGCAGGGAUGUGAUAGAGUUAGAGGGUACAGAGCCAAAUGCUGAUGCGCUAACUGUCGUCACAGUAGAUGCCAAUCAAGUAGUUCAACCCAAUGGGAGUGCGUUGGAUAAUAGCGGUCAAGAUGGCGUUCAAGUUAGCAGCACAGAUGUGAUAGUGUUAGAAGAUACCGAGCCAAAAUGCUGGCACACGGACUAUCAUCGAGAUAGAUGCGAAUCAACUUAUCAGCCAAGUUGGUUUACACAAUGCAGACAGGGAUCCAAGUGCUGGCACACUGACUUUUAGGAUGUAAAAUUGUCCUCUGAACCGAGCAAUGAGUGAACUGGAUACCUAUGUUGAAUAUGGUUAGCAUAGAAAUAUUCAUGAUGUACCAUCAUUUGCUAAAAAAAAUACUUAGAGCAUGUACCUCAUUACUUUCACUUGAUCUAGUUCUGAUGUGGUUCUUACAAUGCAAUUCCUGAUGAUGGGGAUGCGGGGUACGACACUGACUCAGAAGAUGAUCCACAGAUACUUGCAGCAAUAGAUGAUGCAGACAUGGUACGGGUGGGGUGGCUCGGCUGGGUAGGAUGCAGCAGCAGAUCUGGAGGAGGGGAUCAGUGGAUGGAGUCGAUUAGAGCAUCUACAACCAGGCGGCUCUGACGGCAGUCCUCCGUGAAAGCGAGGAGGAGGAGCGACGCAAGGAGGAGGAGGAUGAGGCAGCGGAGGAGGAUUACCAGGCGCGCAUGGCGGAGGCCAUGGCGUUCUCCGCGGCCUGCGACUACGUUGUGCCGCCGUAGAGGCCGUCGUCCCUCGCCAAGGCCGAGCCAUUGCCGAUCCCCCUCGAGCGCUACUCAUGGACCGGAGUGGUGCUCGAGUGGGUCAGCGCGCCUCUAGUCUAGUUGGGGGCGACACCGGCGCAGGAGCAGGCCUACCUCGAGCAGUGGCGGCAGCGAAGGCUGGCCGAGGAGGACCGCGAGGACGAGUACCUCGAGCAGCUCGAGCACAACGCGGAGGAGGAGCGCCACAAGGUGAAGGAGGAGAAGCGCCUUGCCCGCGGUGGGCCAGUCCAGCCCGUGGCGGACGACGUCGCUAGAGCGUGGUCGAUGGCGUUCCCUUGGGCUGGCCCGGCGCCGGCACUGAUCGACCUCACCGGCCCCGACGACGACGACGAGAACGCCUAGGGCAGCGUGCCUUCUGGUACUUUUAAGUUUUAUUUAAUGUUUUAGUUAAUGUAAACAUGGACUCGUGGACUCCACGGCCUUUGUGACCGGCAUUAAUGUUUAAUUAACGUUUUUAAUUUUUAAAA